GAUGAACGCUGGCGGCGUGCCUAAUACAUGCAAGUCGAGCGAACGGACGAGAAGCUUGCUUCUCUGAUGUUAGCGGCGGACGGGUGAGUAACACGUGGGUAACCUACCUAUAAGACUGGGAUAACUUCGGGAAACCGGAGCUAAUACCGGAUAAUAUUUUGAACCGCAUGGUUCAAAAGUGAAAGAUGGUCUUGCUGUCACUUAUAGAUGGAUCCGCGCUGCAUUAGCUAGUUGGUAAGGUAACGGCUUACCAAGGCAACGAUGCAUAGCCGACCUGAGAGGGUGAUCGGCCACACUGGAACUGAGACACGGUCCAGACUCCUACGGGAGGCAGCAGUAGGGAAUCUUCCGCAAUGGGCGAAAGCCUGACGGAGCAACGCCGCGUGAGUGAUGAAGGUCUUCGGAUCGUAAAACUCUGUUAUUAGGGAAGAACAUAUGUGUAAGUAACUGUGCACAUCUUGACGGUACCUAAUCAGAAAGCCACGGCUAACUACGU
RNAcentral lists this ribosomal RNA (496 nucleotides) under uncultured bacterium. RNAcentral describes it as "partial 16S ribosomal RNA". It matches the Rfam family "Bacterial small subunit ribosomal RNA", at positions 28 to 506 of the family's 1533-position model. The record is from RNAcentral.